UCUCUUUCUCUCUCUUCUCUUUCUAUACGAAAACUGAGUCUUCUUCCUCAACCUCCCCUUCUCUUCUUCUUCCUCUUCCUCAACCUUCCUUAACCUCCCCCCUUUUUUUCUUCCUCACCUUCAUUCUGUAACAACAUCAUCACCAUCCUCUUCUAACUCUUUUGUGGUUUAUUUUUCAGGUUAUAGACUGGAUCGAGUUUUACCGGUGAGUUUUGAAGCUUAAAAGGUUAUAGGCUGGAUCGGGUUUUACCGGUGAGUUUUGAAGCUAACAAUGUUAUAAACUAGAUCGAGUUUUACCGGUGAGUUUUGAAGGUGACAAGGUAUGGGUUCUUUUUGGUUUUCUCUCGGGGAUUAUUAUUAUAGUUAUUUUCUAUUUAUAUAUUACUUAUGGUUACUGAAAGGAAUUUUUGUAAGAACGGGACAUUGAAAUUUUCAUUUUUAGCCUUACAAUAAUUUGUAUGCAAAGUCUCUCCCUGUUUUGAUUCAAGAGGAAAUGUAAAAGUGAUUAUGGCUACCAACAGAAUUGAAAGUCUUAAUCAUGCUUUGUUACCACCUGGUCGUAUUGACUAAUAUGUAACACCAUUAUUAAGUUAACUUUGGGUGGAUCAUAGCUACUCAUUUGUCUCUGUACUCGACAAUCCUUAUUAUCCCAGUAGUACUGUUGUUUGGUUAUGGCCCUGAUGCUCCCCCUAGGAAGUUAUUCCUGCAAAGGAAGAAUCUUGAAGUUCAUGAUUUCAAGGAGGCCAAUUGUGUUUUUUUUUUGUUCUGGGCUUUACUGUGGUCGUCCUACGUUUUAAUCCUCCCGCUGCAGAUCACAAUUGUUGGAAUAAACCUGAGUCAAUUAACGGGGAACGACCUCUCUUACAAGUGAACACAUCCUCUCCCGGAUCAGAUGUUGCAGGUGAAACUACAACAGCCAUGGCAUCAGCGUCUUUGGUUUUCAGAAAUACGAAUCCUACAUAUUCAAUGGACAAGUUCAUGCCUAUGAAAGAUCAAACCGAGUAUAUAACUACACAUUGGAUCCAUGCGGUCCUGUUCAUAUCACGGUUGGUGACGGUAGUAACUGGGAAAAGAUGGCGAUUACUCAUGCGGAUGAACCAGGAAACUGUAAAGGAUUAUGCUUUUUUAUUAGUUGUCUACCUUUAUGUAGUUUCUCAGUUUUUUUUAUAUGGUCUACUAUUCUUGAUAUUGUUUAAUAGAGACGUAAAGUUGUUGUUGUUACUAUACAGAUGCAAAUAAAAGCAGUGUUUGUAAAAAACAAAGUUUGGACCGUUAAAGAUGCUACUUUUGUUUAAGAUAAGUGCUUCUUUAACUAUUAAGCACAUGCAUCUGCAUGCUUACUCUUGAAUUUUUCUUUUUUGUAGAAUAUGUUGAAGCUUACAGAAGGAAUAUUCAAUUCAAUGACAAGGAGAGAAUUCCAAUAGUAGAUUCUCAUCUCUCAGAUGCUCACGUCUAUAUGCUAGAAAACCCUAAAGAAUUUGACGUUGUAAGGCGAUGGUUGCUACUAAUAUGCACUUUCAUUCACCUUUUCAUCAAUGAUGUCAAUCGUAGAGAUCAGAAAAUAGUCGACUAUUUAGAUUACACAAUGAAUACUGUCAUAACGGUGCUAUAGCUGCUAUUUGACAACACUUUGUACUAAAUAGUUGAUUUACAACUCAGUCGAAGAUCUGUAAUUGGUGAUUUUUAACGCAACAUAAAGUU
Long non-coding RNA from Vicia villosa (hairy vetch), 1701 nucleotides. RefSeq lists it as uncharacterized. The transcript is spliced from 5 exons. The record is from RefSeq and is a predicted model, not a curated record. Lineage: Eukaryota; Viridiplantae; Streptophyta; Magnoliopsida; Fabales; Fabaceae.